Molecule: ribosomal RNA, 425 nt
Filed under: uncultured bacterium
Lineage: Bacteria
Description: bacterial SSU rRNA
Rfam family: Bacterial small subunit ribosomal RNA
Source: RNAcentral
UGAGGAAUUUUCGUCAAUGGGGGCAACCCUGAACGAGCAACGCCGCGUGCAGGAUGAAGGUUUUCGGAUCGUAAACUGCUUUUCUCUGGGACGAGCAAGGACGGUACCAGAGGAAGAAGCCCCGGCUAACUACGUGCCAGCAGCCGCGGUAAUACGUAGGGGGCGAGCGUUGUCCGGAUUUAUUGGGCGUAAAGCGUCCGCAGGUGGUCUUUUACGUUUGGGGUGACAGUUCCCGGCUCAACUGGGAAAGUGCUUCGAAAACUGGAAGACUUGAGGGCUUGAGAGGAAAGCGGAAUUCCGGGUGGAGUGGUGAAAUGCGUAGAUAUCCGGAGGAACACCAAUGGCGUAGGCAGCUUUCUGGCAAGUACCUGACACUCAUGGACGAAAGCUAGGGGAGCAAACGGGAUUAGAUACCCCCGUAGUCC